This 372-nucleotide ribosomal RNA is filed under the name uncultured organism. RNAcentral's name for it is "bacterial SSU rRNA". It matches the Rfam family "Bacterial small subunit ribosomal RNA", at positions 526 to 896 of the family's 1533-position model. The record is from RNAcentral.
CGGAGGGUGCGAGCGUUGUCCGGAAUCACUGGGCGUAAAGGGCGCGUAGGCGGCCUGGUAAGUAGGGGGUGAAAUCCUGCGGCUUAACCGCAGGGCUGCCUUCUAAACUGUCAGGCUCGAGCACGGUAGAGGCAGAUGGAAUUCCCGGUGUAGCGGUGGAAUGCGUAGAGAUCGGGAAGAACAUCAGUGGCGAAGGCGGUCUGCUGGGCCGUUGCUGACGCUGAGGCGCGACAGCGUGGGGAGCAAACAGGAUUAGAUACCCUGGUAGUCCACGCCGUAAACGAUGGGCACUAGGCGUCGGGGGGAGCGACCCUCCCGGUGCCGUCGCUAACGCAGUAAGUGCCCCGCCUGGGGAGUACGGCCGCAAGGCUG